Molecule: long non-coding RNA, 2696 nt
Filed under: Sus scrofa (pig)
Lineage: Eukaryota; Metazoa; Chordata; Mammalia; Artiodactyla; Suidae
Description: lncRNA (multiple genes)
Source: RNAcentral
GGCAUAUGAAGGUUCCCAGGCUAGGGGUCGAAUCAGAGCUGUAGCCACCAGCAUAGCCACAGCCACAGAAGUGCCAGAUCUGAGCCGCGUCUGCGACCUACACCACAGCUCACAUUAACACCAGAUCCUUAACCCACUGAGCGAGGCCCAGGAGCAAACCUGUGUCCUCAUGCAUGCUAGUCAGAUUUGUUUCUGCUGAGCCACAAAGGGAAUUCCUAGAAGGUUGGAACUUUCAGUCCUACCACUUAGACGUCCAGAGAGGAGGAGGGCUGAAAACUGAACUUAACCAAGUGGAUAAUGAUAAAAUUCCAAUGAAUCUCUAGAAACCCAGAGCCCAAGGAGCUUCCUAGUUGGAUCCUCUCAGACUUUGUCCUAUAUAUCUUUUUCAUUUGGCUGUUCCUGAGUUUUAUCCUUUAUAAUAAAGCCAACUGUACAUAUAUCACUUUCAGGGAGUUCUGGAAGUUAUUCUAGCAAAUUAACAAACCUGAGAUGGUCAUAAGAACCCUUGAACUUAGCUGAGGAAUGAGCUGUCCUAAGACUUACUAAAGGGAAGGCAGUCUUCAGGAAAACACUGCCCUCAACUUGUGGGGUCUGGCAUUAACUUAGGGUCGUUAGCAUCUGAAUUGAACUGAAUUGCAUGAUAGCCAGGUGGUGUCAGAGAGUUGCUAUAUCAAUUGAACAGUAACAAUCUCUCAUUGUUAACCUAUCAACUAAAUUAACUUUUUUCCAACAUGGUAUAUUUUCAUUAAGAAGAAAAAAAAUCAGGAGUUCCUGUUGAGGCUCAGUGGUUAAUGAAUCAGACUAAGAACCAUGAGGUUGUGGGUUCGAUCUCUGGCCUUGCUCAGUGGGUUAAGGAUCUGGUGUUGCUGUGGCUGUGGUCUCCAAUUUGACUCCUAGCCUGGGAACCUCCAUAUGUCAAAGGUGCAGCCCUAAGAGACACACAAACACACAAAAAAGCAGUAAUCAUAGCUAGCAAAGGGAACUGAAGCUGAAAGAAUACAUAGCAAGCCAAUAUAAUGCAGAGGUGAGGCCACAAAGGCCACAAGGAAGCAAAACUUACGGCAAAGGUGAAGCCCUAAGUAAGCAGAACCUAUGAAUAAGCUAAAAAUAUGAGGAGGGGAAAAAAAAGAUAAAACAAAAUGGACAGGCCAGGCCAACAGGCAGUAAGAGAAAUAGAGACAAAAGUUAAGACAGAGUAGCUCAGUUACAUAAACGGCACAAUCCUAACAUGAAGAACCACAAACUCUUGCUGCUGAGUUUCCCAGAGCUUCUCUGGACCCAGGUCCCAUUCCCUAAAAGCCAUAACCAUAUUAAAGUUCCCCUAUAUUUGGAAUGUCAUGUGAUUCCAGUCACCAUUAUUUUCCCACAAGCCAAACAAUAACUUGUCAUUAGAUCAUUGUGGAAUCUGUUUCUAGCAAUCAGAAGUGCCUAAUCAAUAGUAAGAAGCAGAAUAGCCCCUCAUGAGGAAUGCAAUUUAGGGAACUGACUGUGAUCUUGUGGAAAACCCCUUGUUUUAAAGAUGCUGUGCAAACCAGCUUGUGGCAUGGAAUUUACAUUUUAUAUUCAAUUUAGAAGGUGAGACGUUGAGAGACUUGGUAGAUGCUGCAAAGAAGCAGCAUUAGGGAGCUAAAGUGGACAGAAUAAAGCAGAUACGUCAUAGUGUCACCCAUGCUCAAAAUUCUUCUAAAGGAAACUGUACUGCAAACAAGUCUAGCCAAGAAAACAUUCUUGCCACCAAUUAUCCCUCCUCUGAAUCCAUGGCUAUUCAGAUCAAGGAUAAGAAUCAGAACCAAGGACAGACAUCCACAAGCCAGUCAUCAGCCUAUGAUUUACUAUAUGAAAGCUGUCCCCAAACAACGAGGUGAGAAAAUUAGGUUUAACUUACAACUGAGGAAAAAGAGAGGAGCAAAAUUACUCUGCAGCUGAAAUGAAUGGAUAUGUGAUCAAAGAAUAUACCACAGCCUAUGUUAAGAAUCAUGAAGGAUUUAAGUAAGAUCAACUGGUAAACCCAAAAAUCAGAAGCUAAAAAUUAGCCGAAACUAUCCAUCAGAAAUAGGAUAAAGAACAGAGGAUGAGGAAGCCAGAUAGCAGCAGGAAGAUACUCAAAGGAUAUACAGAAAGCAGGGUCAUGUAUUCAUUUGUGAGACUUCAGGUUCCAAAAAUAGUUAGGUAUGUAUGGUACUUUUGGAUGUCCCACAACUGGGUUGCCUUCUAGUUUUAGAGCAAUUAAAUGACUCUGGAUAUACCUGUGAUAGGUAAGUUAAGUUAGUCUAAAGCACUUUGGGAUUACAAAAAGGGAAAGGAAACCAUUUCCACAUGGCAAUCAAUAGAGGGAAAUGUCCUAGACUGCCAAAUAACAAAUGCUACACCUGUAGUCUGAGGAAACUUAAUCCACAGGCAAUCGGAUUCUCAAUUUAAUGACAACUGGGCAGUAUGGAGACCAAGAAUGGAAACAGAUACGUGCAGAAAGAUGAGGCUGAGUAGAGACCAUGCCUAUAGAGGCUGCACAAACUCAAGUUAUGAAUGAGAAAAAAACAAAGUACUCAGUAGCUAGGUGGUAGAGGAAGACAGAGUAUGAAGAAACGAGUUGAAAGUAGAAGAUAACAUGCAGAAAACCAGAGAAAUAAGAUGAAUCACAUGAAUAAUACGACAAGGGAGGCAAGUUCUAUAAACUUCUUAAAAUGAUCCAAACGAGC